CCGCAGAUGCCUCCGCGUCCUCCAACCGCGCGCACGUUCCACCCUCUGUGAGUCGCGCCGCGUCGCCUUGUGCUCGUGCUCGUGCUCGCGCUGUGCGUCUUGGCGCGCCACCCGCCGACGAGCGCCUCUUGACACAGUUGCAUCUCGCCGAGUGCACACGGGUCCACUUCCACCCGACUCGAUCCGACGUCUCGACGACAAAAACCUACAAGGAAGCGUGCGGUGCUUCAUGGAACGGUCUGUCUCUUUGACCAUCCGACGUUGGUCCAGCGUCGCGCCCAGUGACUGGAUGUGAGCUCAACCAUUCGAUCGGUCUCGGAGUAUGUGUUGAACACGAGUGCGUGCGGGGACUAUGAGG
This 358-nucleotide long non-coding RNA is filed under the name Bemisia tabaci. Its description in RNAcentral is "lncRNA ENSASIAIIG002547". The record is from RNAcentral. Lineage: Eukaryota; Metazoa; Arthropoda; Insecta; Hemiptera; Aleyrodidae.